This 494-nucleotide ribosomal RNA is filed under the name uncultured bacterium. RNAcentral's name for it is "partial 16S ribosomal RNA". It matches the Rfam family "Bacterial small subunit ribosomal RNA", at positions 28 to 507 of the family's 1533-position model. The record is from RNAcentral.
GACGAACGCUGGCGGCGUGCUUAACACAUGCAAGUCGAACGGUGAAGCGCCUUCCUUUUUGGUGGGUGUGGAUGAGUGGCGAACGGGUGAGUAACACGUGAGUAACCUGCCCCCUUCUUCUGGAUAACCGCAUGAAAGUGUGGCUAAUACGGGAUAUUCUGGGUCUGUCGCAUGAUGGGUCUGGGAAAGAUAUUGUUUCGGUGGGGGAUGGGCUCGCGGCCUAUCAGCUUGUUGGUGGGGUGAUGGCCUACCAAGGCGGUGACGGGUAGCCGGCCUGAGAGGGUGGACGGUCACACUGGGACUGAGACACGGCCCAGACUCCUACGGGAGGCAGCAGUGGGGAAUAUUGCACAAUGGGCGCAAGCCUGAUGCAGCGACGCCGUGUGAGGGAUGGAGGCCUUCGGGUUGUGAACCUCUUUCGCCAGUGAAGCAGGCCUGCCUCGUUUGUGGGUGGGUUGACGGUAGCUGGAUAAGAAGCGCCGGCUAACUACGUG